Molecule: ribosomal RNA, 885 nt
Filed under: uncultured Methylobacter sp.
Lineage: Bacteria; Pseudomonadati; Pseudomonadota; Gammaproteobacteria; Methylococcales; Methylococcaceae
Description: bacterial SSU rRNA
Rfam family: Bacterial small subunit ribosomal RNA
Source: RNAcentral
GGCGGACGGGUGAGUAACGCGUAGGAAUCUGCCUCAUAGUGGGGGACAACGUGGGGAAACUCACGCUAAUACCGCAUACGCCCUACGGGGGAAAGCGGGGGAUCUUCGGACCUCGCGCUAUGAGAUGAGCCUGCGUUAGAUUAGCUAGUUGGUGGGGUAAAGGCCUACCAAGGCGACGAUCUAUAGCUGGUCUGAGAGGACGAUCAGCCACACUGGGACUGAGACACGGCCCAGACUCCUACGGGAGGCAGCAGUGGGGAAUAUUGGACAAUGGGCGAAAGCCUGAUCCAGCAAUACCGCGUGUGUGAAGAAGGCCUUAGGGUUGUAAAGCACUUUCAAUUGGGAGGAAAACCUACCGGUCAAUACCCGGUAGCUUGACAUUACCUUUAGAAGAAGCACCGGCUAACUCCGUGCCAGCAGCCGCGGUAAUACGGAGGGUGCGAGCGUUAAUCGGAAUUACUGGGCGUAAAGCGUGCGUAGGCGGUUCGUUAAGUCAGAUGUGAAAGCCCUGGGCUCAACCUGGGAACGGCAUUUGAAACUGGCGGACUAGAGUUUAGUAGAGGGGAGUGGAAUUUCAGGUGUAGCGGUGAAAUGCGUAGAUAUCUGAAGGAACACCAGUGGCGAAGGCGACUCCCUGGACUAGAACUGACGCUGAGGUACGAAAGCGUGGGUAGCAAACAGGAUUAGAUACCCUGGUAGUCCACGCUGUAAACGAUGUCGACUAGCCGUUGGUCCUAUUUACAGGAUUAGUGGCGCAGCUAACGCAUUAAGUCGACCGCCUGGGGAGUACGGCCGCAAGGUUAAAACUCAAAUGAAUUGACGGGGGCCCGCACAAGCGGUGGAGCAUGUGGUUUAAUUCGAUGCAACGCGAAGAACCUUACCUAC